This 1452-nucleotide ribosomal RNA is filed under the name Alistipes sp. enrichment culture clone. RNAcentral describes it as "bacterial SSU rRNA". It matches the Rfam family "Bacterial small subunit ribosomal RNA". Lineage: Bacteria; Pseudomonadati; Bacteroidota; Bacteroidia; Bacteroidales; Rikenellaceae. The record is from RNAcentral.
GAUGAACGCUAGCGGCAGGCCUAACACAUGCAAGUCGAGGGGCAUCGGGAUUGAAGCUUGCUUCAAUUGCCGGCGACCGGCGCACGGGUGCGUAACGCGUAUGUAACCUACCUAUAACAGGGGCAUAACACUGAGAAAUUGGUACUAAUUCCCCAUAAUAUUCGGAGAGGCAUCUCUCCGGGUUGAAAACUCCGGUGGUUAUAGAUGGACAUGCGUUGUAUUAGCUAGUUGGUGAGGUAACGGCUCACCAAGGCAACGAUACAUAGGGGGACUGAGAGGUUAACCCCCCCACACUGGUACUGAGACACGGACCAGACUCCUACGGGAGGCAGCAGUGAGGAAUAUUGGUCAAUGGACGCAAGUCUGAACCAGCCAUGCCGCGUGCAGGAAGACGGCUCUAUGAGUUGUAAACUGCUUUUGUACGAGGGUAAACUCACCUACGUGUAGGUGACUGAAAGUAUCGUACGAAUAAGGAUCGGCUAACUCCGUGCCAGCAGCCGCGGUAAUACGGAGGAUUCAAGCGUUAUCCGGAUUUAUUGGGUUUAAAGGGUGCGUAGGCGGUUUGAUAAGUUAGAGGUGAAAUCCCGGGGCUUAACUCCGGAACUGCCUCUAAUACUGUUAGACUAGAGAGUAGUUGCGGUAGGCGGAAUGUAUGGUGUAGCGGUGAAAUGCUUAGAGAUCAUACAGAACACCGAUUGCGAAGGCAGCUUACCAAACUAUAUCUGACGUUGAGGCACGAAAGCGUGGGGAGCAAACAGGAUUAGAUACCCUGGUAGUCCACGCAGUAAACGAUGAUAACUCGUUGUCGGCGAUACACAGUCGGUGACUAAGCGAAAGCGAUAAGUUAUCCACCUGGGGAGUACGUUCGCAAGAAUGAAACUCAAAGGAAUUGACGGGGGCCCGCACAAGCGGAGGAACAUGUGGUUUAAUUCGAUGAUACGCGAGGAACCUUACCCGGGCUUGAAAGUUACUGACGAUUCUGGAAACAGGAUUUCCCUUCGGGGCAGGAAACUAGGUGCUGCAUGGUUGUCGGCAGCUCGUGCCGUGGGGUGUCGGGUUAAGUCCCAUAACGAGCGCAACCCCUACAAAAUAGUUGCCAUCAGGUCAAGCUGGGCACUCUGGCGGGACUGCCGGUGUAAGCCGAGAGGAAGGUGGGGAUGACGUCAAAUCAGCACGGCCCUUACGUCCGGGGCUACACACGUGUUACAAUGGUAGGUACAGAGGGUCGCUACCCCGCGAGGGGAUGCCAAUCUCGAAAGCCUAUCUCAGUUCGGAUUGGAGGCUGAAACCCGCCUCCAUGAAGUUGGAUUCGCUAGUAAUCGCGCAUCAGCCAUGGCGCGGUGAAUACGUUCCCGGGCCUUGUACACACCGCCCGUCAAGCCAUGGAAGCUGGGGGUGCCUGAAGUUCGUGACCGCGAGGAGCGACCUAGGGCAAAACCGGUAACUGGGGCU